GCAUAUCAAUAAGCGGAGGAAAAGAAAAUAACAAUGAUUCCUCUAGUAACUGCGAGUGAAGAGGGAAAAGCUCAAAUUUUAAAUCUGUUAGGUUUACCUAACCGAGUUGUAAUUUGAAGAAGCGUUUUCUGCGAUUUUGGUUAGUCCAAAUCCUUUGGAAUAAGGUAUCAUGGAGGGUGAGAAUCCCGUUCGGUUAACCAAAGCGCUUUACGAUACGCCUUCAAAGAGUCAAGUUGUUUGGGAUUGCAGCUUAAAAUGGGAGGUAAAUUUCUCCUAAGGCUAAAUAUUGGCGAGAGACCGAUAGCGAACAAGUACCGUGAGGGAAAGAUGAAAAGAACUUUGAAAAGAGAGUUAAACAGUACGUGAAAUUGUUGAAAGGGAAACGAUUAAAGUCAGUCGUACCUACGAGUGAUCAACCUACUCGAGUGCGAUUUUGUGGGUAUGUUUGAGCUUAAAAACCUUCAUGCUUACAAAUUGGUGCUCUUUGGGCGUACUUUCUCGUAUGGUAGGUUAACAUCAAUUUCGAUCGUUAUAAAAUGACUGGAGGAAUGUAGCUUCGACCUCGGUUGAAGUGUUAUAGCCUUUGGUAGAUGUAAUGAUUGGGAUUGAGGAUUGCAACGGAUACCCUCUGGGCUAUUCGUCUGAUCUCUGGAAGUUACCUUGGUGUCGAAAGCGUGCUUACGAUAUUAAGGUUGACGGCCAAUAGGUUAGAACGUGAUUAAAUUCGUUAAGGAUGUUGACGUAAUGGCUUUAAACGAC
Molecule: ribosomal RNA, 759 nt
Filed under: Rhizophagus cf. intraradices HG-2010
Lineage: Eukaryota; Fungi; Glomeromycota; Glomeromycetes; Glomerales; Glomeraceae
Description: eukaryotic LSU rRNA
Rfam family: Eukaryotic large subunit ribosomal RNA
Source: RNAcentral